Molecule: ribosomal RNA, 446 nt
Filed under: uncultured bacterium
Lineage: Bacteria
Description: bacterial SSU rRNA
Rfam family: Bacterial small subunit ribosomal RNA
Source: RNAcentral
CCAGACUCCUACGGGAGGCAGCAGUGGGGAAUAUUGCACAAUGGGGGAAACCCUGAUGCAGCGACGCCGCGUGAGCGAUGAAGUAUUUCGGUAUGUAAAGCUCUAUCAGCAGGGAAGAAGAUGACGGUACCUGACUAAGAAGCCCCGGCUAACUACGUGCCAGCAGCCGCGGUAAUACGUAGGGGGCAAGCGUUAUCCGGAUUUACUGGGUGUAAAGGGAGCGUAGACGGCGAUGCAAGCCAGAUGUGAAAGGCCGGGGCUCAACCCCGGGACUGCAUUUGGAACUGUGUGGCUGGAGUGUCGGAGAGGCAGGCGGAAUUCCUAGUGUAGCGGUGAAAUGCGUAGAUAUUAGGAGGAACACCAGUGGCGAAGGCGGCCUACUGGACAGUAACUGACGUUGAGGCUCGAAAGCGUGGGGAGCAAACAGGAUUAGAUACCCCGGUACA